GGUGUUUGUUAGGCUCCAUCUUAAGUCCAUCCUCUCCCCACCUCAGGAAACUCUCUGACACUCCCAACUGAGAGCUGGAGUCUGCUCCUGAACACAGCCUGCUCAACAUCUGGUCAGCAUCUGGGGUCCAGGGAGCCAGGCACAGGGCAGGCCUGUGUGAGGCUGUUUUCUGGGAAAGUUUGGAGCACGGUACUUCCCCAGGGUUCCCGUGAUGGUGACUCACAGAGCCCAUCUAGUGGUUCUGAAUUUUGGUCCCAGGGGCUCCUGUUCCAAGCAGUAACACUGUCAACGUCUUGAGGGCCCUAGUGUGGCAGAAGAGUCAGAGAAGCUGGAUUCCAGAUUUCCAGAGAAAUGAAAGAAGAUGAGAAGACAAAGAUCUAUACUAAAAUUCUGUUCAAUAUGGACACCUUACUCUGUUGACAUGAGCAAAGGCUGGUGUUGGUUCAAGACAGUGAAGAUGGUCCAAAGCAGUUCUAUUCGAGGAUCACCAGAAAUGAUAAGAUUUCAAGGAAGGCUCGACUUUCCCCAAAAUCACCCAUGUUUUGUUUGUUUUUAUGUUUGUUUUCUGAAUGAAACAGAACAGUUGCCUUUGACCUACUGAGUAGUUCCAUUGAGAAAUAAAUGUGCUUUAAAUUAA
Mesocricetus auratus (golden hamster) is the source of this 637-nucleotide long non-coding RNA. RefSeq lists it as uncharacterized. The record is from RefSeq and is a predicted model, not a curated record. The transcript is spliced from 2 exons. NCBI's taxonomy places the organism in Eukaryota, Metazoa, Chordata, Mammalia, Rodentia, Cricetidae.